CACACGUCACACGACAAUAUAUAUAAGACUGGUCAUCCCUAUUAGACAAUUCAUUUCUAUGUAAUAACUGCGUCAGGCGUACAGAAUGAAGAUUGUAUAUUUAUUUGCUACACUAAUGCUGUUCUCUCAAUUUAUGGGAAACAGUGCUUACCUUUCGGGAAUCUCACCAUCUACUACAACUCCUAAGCCUUGGAGUAAAAAAAUAAGUGAUGGCCUGGGGAAGUUUUUCCAAGGUGCUGCAAUUCUAGGCGCGGUGCAGGAAGCGAUCAACAAUGGAAAAAGAGGCAAACAUAAGUCGUUCCACUCAAGUAGCUCUAAGAAUUAAAUAUUUAAGUUUAUUUGUUGCGAUUUAAUAAAUUUUACUCAAUUUUGUAUGAAUCAGUAUUAUUUGUAUGUUUUCUAGAGGAGAGUAAAAGAUUUAACACGCA
Long non-coding RNA from Melitaea cinxia (Glanville fritillary), 428 nucleotides. RefSeq lists it as uncharacterized. The transcript has 2 exons. The record is from RefSeq and is a predicted model, not a curated record. NCBI's taxonomy places the organism in Eukaryota, Metazoa, Arthropoda, Insecta, Lepidoptera, Nymphalidae.